Molecule: ribosomal RNA, 468 nt
Filed under: uncultured bacterium
Lineage: Bacteria
Description: partial 16S ribosomal RNA
Rfam family: Bacterial small subunit ribosomal RNA
Source: RNAcentral
GACGAACGCUGGCGGCGUGCUUAACACAUGCAAGUCGAACGGAAAGGCCCUGCUUUUGUGGGGUGCUCGAGUGGCGAACGGGUGAGUAACACGUGAGUAACCUGCCCUUGACUUUGGGAUAACUUCAGGAAACUGGGGCUAAUACCGGAUAGGAGCUCCUGCUGCAUGGUGGGGGUUGGAAAGUUUCGGCGGUUGGGGAUGGACUCGCGGCUUAUCAGCUUGUUGGUGGGGUAGUGGCUUACCAAGGCUUUGACGGGUAGCCGGCCUGAGAGGGUGACCGGCCACAUUGGGACUGAGAUACGGCCCAGACUCCUACGGGAGGCAGCAGUGGGGAAUAUUGCACCAUGGGCGGAGGCCUGAUGCAGCAACGCCGCGUGCGGGAUGACGGCCUUCGGGUUGUACCCCGCUUUCGCCUGUGACGAAGCGUGAGUGACGGUAAUGGGUAAAGAAGCACCGGCUCACUACGUG